CCUACGGGCGGCAGCAGUGGGGAAUAUUGCACAAUGGGGGAAACCCUGAUGCAGCGACGCCGCGUGAGCGAUGAAGUAUUUCGGUAUGUAAAGCUCUAGCAGCAGGGCAGAAAAUGACGGUACCUGACUAAGAAGCCCCGGCUAACGACGUGCCAGCAGCCGCGGUAAUACGUAGGGGGCAAGCGCUAUCAGGAUUUACUGUGUGUAAAGGGAGCGUAGACGGUCCUGCAAGCCAGAUGUGAAAGCCCGGGGCUCAACCCCGGGACUGCAUUUGGAACUGUAAGGCUAGAGUGUGGGAGAGGCAGGCGGAAUUCCUGGUGUAGCAGUGAAAUGCGUAGAUAUUAGGAGGAACACCAGUGGCGAAGGCGGCUUGCUGGACGAUGACUGACGUUGAGGCUCGAAAGCGUGGGGAGCAAAAAGGAUUAGAUACCCCAGUAGUC
RNAcentral lists this ribosomal RNA (440 nucleotides) under uncultured bacterium. Its description in RNAcentral is "partial 16S ribosomal RNA". It matches the Rfam family "Bacterial small subunit ribosomal RNA", at positions 338 to 795 of the family's 1533-position model. The record is from RNAcentral.